AACUAACGCUGGCGGCGUGCCUAACACAUGCAAGUCGUACGAGAAAGUCGGCUUCGGCCGAUGAGUAAAGUGGCGCACGGGUGAGUAAUGCGUGGAUAAUCUGCCCUUGAGUUCGGAAUAACGUACCGAAAGGUGCGCUAAUACCGGAUAAUACUGCACAACUACUGUUGUGUAGUCAAAGAUGGCCUCUGUUUACAAGCUUUUGCUGAAGGAUGAGUCCGCGUACCAUUAGCUAGUUGGUGGGGUAAUGGCCUACCAAGGCGACGAUGGUUAGCUGGUCUGAGAGGAUGAUCAGCCACACUGGAACUGAGACACGGUCCAGACUCCUACGGGAGGCAGCAGUGAGGAAUAUUGCGCAAUGGGGGCAACCCUGACGCAGCAACGCCGCGUGAGUGAGGAAGGUUUUCGGACCGUAAAGCUCUGUCGAGCGGGAAGAAAUGCAUGGUGGCUAAUAUCCAUCAUGCUUGACGGUACCGCUAGAGGAAGCACCGGCUAACUCCGUGCCAGCAGCCGCGGUAAUACGGGGGGUGCAAGCGUUGUUCGGAAUUAUUGGGCGUAAAGAGCGUGUAGGCGGCUGAAUAAGUCAGAUGUGAAAUCCCUGGGCUUAACCCAGGACGUGCAUUUGAAACUAUUCAGCUUGAGUAAGGGAGAGGAAAGUGGAAUUCCUGGUGUAGAGGUGAAAUUCGUAGAUAUCAGGAGGAACACCGGUGGCGAAGGCGACUUUCUGGCCCUAUACUGACGCUGAGACGCGAGAGCGUGGGUAGCAAACAGGAUUAGAUACCCUGGUAGUCCACGCUGUAAACGAUGUUCACUAGGUGUUGGGGGUAUUGACCCUCUCAGUGCCGCAGCUAACGCAUUAAGUGAACCGCCUGGGGAGUACGGUCGCAAGAUUAAAACUCAA
This 901-nucleotide ribosomal RNA is filed under the name delta proteobacterium enrichment culture. Its description in RNAcentral is "bacterial SSU rRNA". It matches the Rfam family "Bacterial small subunit ribosomal RNA", at positions 28 to 904 of the family's 1533-position model. Lineage: Bacteria; Deltaproteobacteria. The record is from RNAcentral.